RNAcentral lists this ribosomal RNA (1406 nucleotides) under Cystoclonium purpureum f. stellatum. RNAcentral's name for it is "SSU rRNA". It matches the Rfam family "Bacterial small subunit ribosomal RNA". Lineage: Eukaryota; Rhodophyta; Florideophyceae; Gigartinales; Cystocloniaceae. The record is from RNAcentral.
UAAAAAAAAUAAAAAAAUAAAAGAGUUUGAUCCUGGCUCAGAAUGAACGUUAAUGGUUAACUUAACACAUGCAAGUUAAAGAUAUUUUAAACUUUGAAAAUAUUUAACGAACGGGUGAGUAAUAUAUAGAAAUCUACCUUAAAAUUUUGUUAAAUGCAUAAAAUUGAUUUGUUUUAAGAAAAGUCUAUAUAGGAUUAAGUUAGUUGGUAAUUUAAAAGAUUACCAAGCUUAUGAUCCUUAGUUGGUCUGUGAGGAUGAACAACCACAUUGGAACUGAGAAACGGUCCAAACUUCAAAUUGAAGGCAGCAGUGAGGAAUAUUGGGCAAUGAGUGAAAGCUUGACCCAGUUAAACUAUAUGUGUGAUGAAGGUAAAAAAUUGUAAAGCACUAAAAUUAAUUAUAAAUAAUGAUUUUUUUAAUAAUAAUCCUGGCUAAUUUCGUGCCAGCAGCCGCGGUAAAACGAGAAGGGUUAACGUUAUUCGGAUUUAUUGGGCGUAAAGGAUAUGUAGGUGGAAAAUUAAAUUCUUAUAUAAAACUUAUAUUUUAAUUUUAAGUAAAUAUUUAAAAUUUUUUUCUAGAGUUUAAUAAAAGAUUAUGGAACUUUAAAUGUAACAGUAAAAUGUUUUGAUAUUUAAAAGAACAUCAAAAGCGUAGGCAAUAAUCUGGAUUAAAACUGACAUUGAGGUAUUAAAGUGUGGGUAGCGAAAGGGAUUAGAUACCCCUGUAGUCCACACCCUGAACUAUGAGUGUUUAUUUUUGGAUAUAUUUCAGAAAUGUAGUUAACACGUUAAACACUCCGCCUGGGAACUAUGAUUGCAAAAUUAAAACUCAAAGGAAUUGACGGGAACCUACACAAGCAGUGGAGCAUGUGGUUUAAAUCGACAAUACGCGAAAAACCUUACCAACUUUUGAAUAAUUUUUAUAAUUACAGGUGUUGCAUGGCUGUCGUCAGUCCGUGCUGUGAAGCGUUUGGUUUAUUCCAGAAAACGGACAAAACUCUUGUAUAUUUUUUAAUAUAAAUCGCUAAAGAUAUUUUAGAAGAAGAUGAGAAUGAUGUCAAGUCCUCAUGACCCUUAUGAGUUGGGCUACUUUCAUGUGCUACAAUAGUUUUUUCAAUAAGAAGCAAUCAUGUAAGUUUUAGCAAAUCUUUAAAUAAAACUAUAUUCGGAUUAUUUUCUGAAACUCGAAAAUAUGAAGUUGGAAUUGCUAGUAAUCGUAAAUUAGAAUGUUACGGUGAAUAAGUUCUUAGGUUUUGUACACACCGCCCGUCACGCUAUGGAAAUUCGUAUUAUUUGAAAAUUAUAUUAAAUUAAUUUAUAGUAAUAGAAAAACUGAAGUGAAGUCGUAACAAGGUAGCCGUAGGGGAACCUGUGGCUGGAAAAUAAAUAAAUAAAAUCUACUAUCCU